AGCGGUACAGCUCAGUGGUAGAGCAUGUGCUUGGCGUGCGCAAGGUUCUGGGUUCAAUCCCCAGUGCCUCUG
Molecule: transfer RNA, 72 nt
Filed under: Camelus bactrianus (Bactrian camel)
Lineage: Eukaryota; Metazoa; Chordata; Mammalia; Artiodactyla; Camelidae
Also listed under: 1 other name
Rfam family: tRNA
About the family: Transfer RNA (tRNA) molecules are approximately 80 nucleotides in length.
Source: Rfam by way of RNAcentral